GUGACCUCAAAUCAGGUAGGACUACCCGCUGAACUUAAGCAUAUCAAUAAGCGGAGGAAAAGAAACUAACAAGGAUUCCCCUAGUAACUGCGAGUGAAGCGGGAAAAGCUCAAAUUUAAAAUCUGGCGGCCUUUUUGCUGUCCGAGUUGUAAUCUAGAGAAGUGUUAUCCGCGCUGGACCGUGUACAAGUCUCCUGGAAUGGAGCAUCAUAGAGGGUGAGAAUCCCGUCUUUGACAUGGACUACCAGGGCUUUGUGAUGCGCUCUCAAAGAGUCGAGUUGUUUGGGAAUGCAGCUCAAAAUGGGUGGUAAAUUCCAUCUAAAGCUAAAUAUUGGCGAGAGACCGAUAGCGGACAAGUACCGUGAGGGAAAGAUGAAAAGAACU
RNAcentral lists this ribosomal RNA (383 nucleotides) under uncultured Cortinarius. RNAcentral describes it as "eukaryotic LSU rRNA". It matches the Rfam family "Eukaryotic large subunit ribosomal RNA", at positions 1 to 375 of the family's 3401-position model. The record is from RNAcentral. Lineage: Eukaryota; Fungi; Basidiomycota; Agaricomycetes; Agaricales; Cortinariaceae.